CCUACGGGAGGCAGCAGUGGGGAAUAUUGCACAAUGGGGGGAACCCUGAUGCAGCGACGCCGCGUGAGCGAGGAAGUAUUUCGGUAUGUAAAGCUCUAUCAGCAGGGACGAAAAAAGACGGUACCUGACUAAGAAGCCCCGGCUAACUACGUGCCAGCAGCCGCGGUAAUACGUAGGGGGCAAGCGUUAUCCGGAUUUACUGGGUGUAAAGGGAGCGUAGACGGCAAGGCAAGCCAGAAGUGAAAGGGCAGGGCUCAACCCUGUACAUGCUUUUGGAACUGUGGUGCUAGAGUGCAGGAGAGGUAAGUGGAAUUCCUAGUGUAGCGGUGAAAUGCGUAGAUAUUAGGAGGAACACCAGUGGCGAAGGCGGCUUACUGGACUGUAACUGACGUUGAGGCUCGAAAGCGUGGGGAGCAAACAGGAUUAGAUACC
RNAcentral lists this ribosomal RNA (432 nucleotides) under uncultured bacterium. Its description in RNAcentral is "bacterial SSU rRNA". It matches the Rfam family "Bacterial small subunit ribosomal RNA", at positions 338 to 786 of the family's 1533-position model. The record is from RNAcentral.